Molecule: long non-coding RNA, 553 nt
Filed under: Panax ginseng (ginseng)
Lineage: Eukaryota; Viridiplantae; Streptophyta; Magnoliopsida; Apiales; Araliaceae
Description: long non-coding RNA (PGIN_LNC006594)
Source: RNAcentral
AAGGAAAUAAAGUUAUUGCAUUUUUAAAAUAUCAGUACUGCAAAUACAAAUUCAUUUCUUAAGAAUAGUCUUUUGUCAUUAUUAAUCGUGGGUGGAGGUCUGGCGCUCCUAGGCGGGAAAAAGCGGCUGAGUUGGGCAAGUAAAAUUUCUCAAAAGAAAAAAAAAACAGUAAAUACAAAGGCUUAACUACUAAAAUUUAAAACCCUUGCCAAAUCAAGCUGAAACGAUCGAAGGGGUUCGCCCCUAGCCUUCCGAUUGCGACAAUCAAACAACUACUACUACAAGCCGCGACCUCCAAUUCAACCUCCGGCGACCUCGUGACCUUCGAACUUGAACUCUGGCGAAGUCCCUUCAGCUCAUGACCUCUGAUUCGCUUUUUGAUUUUGAGGAUGUAUUGCCAUGGAGUAUAGAGAGAUGAAGUAUUUGGGUUUUUGUGAAAGACAGAUUAAUAGGGAAGGUUAAUUACCCCACGUCUUAAUUUCUUUCAUUUUCUUUUUCACUGAUACUUGGGCUUUCAUUUUACUUAUGUGAGAGAGAUCUUGUGAAAAUAUCA